ACCCCUAAUCAGAUAACCCGAAGCAACCCCAUUCUCAAGCCAUCGACCACCGAUUUGCCCUUUCCAACUACAGUUUGGUGUUCCAACACCACCAGACAAACCUACAGCCUCCCAUGACGUAACCUCAGCCAAUCACAAAUUUUAUCGACCGCCAAACAUCGUGAAAAAGUCGAUAAAGGUUUGUCGAAAACCCUCACUCGCUGCUAUUAUUUUCCUCGUUUCUGUUCGAACCCGACGUUGUGUGACUUCAUUACCACCAACACUGUGUUCCCCGACCUAUUCCGACCAAAACCCAACCGGUGGGUGAGGUUGUCAUUGCUAUUUCGUCUGUCCGUCGUGAUGUGUUCGACCGCCACCGCCAAUCGUUUCCGUUGUCUCACAUGCCGCUAUACGCCGUCGGGUACGCGUGAGGCUCGUCUCCGUUUCAGGAAGCCUCCAAGACCAAUCCAAUCGGUCAGGACCAGCCCAACCCAGUCUGAAUUGGGUUUGUUGACCCGAACCGAUGUGUCCAAGUAAUAUAUGGUAAGAGAAGAGAUUAGUUUCCGAAGAUUUUAUAUGGUAAGAGAACAGAUUACAUUUAUUUUAAAUUACUUUAAUUAUAGAAAGUUAAAAAAAUAGUAAUGUUGAUAUACAUUUAAAUGUACUUAGUGGGAAAAAAUAUAGAAUGGCGGCAAAUUAAAUUUA
Molecule: long non-coding RNA, 684 nt
Organism: Hibiscus syriacus
Lineage: Eukaryota; Viridiplantae; Streptophyta; Magnoliopsida; Malvales; Malvaceae
Exons: 2
Source: RefSeq, a predicted model, not a curated record